UACGGAAGGCAGCGGUGGGGAAUAUUGCACAAUGGGCGAAAGCCUGAUGCAGCUAUGCCGCGUGUAUGAAGAAGGCCUUAGGGUUGUAAAGUACUUUCAUCGGGGAGGAAAAAACAAAACUAAUAAUUUUAUUUCUUGACGUUACCCGAAAAAGAAGCACCGGCUAACUCCGUGCCAGCAGCCGCGGUAAUACGGAGGGUGCUAGCGUUAAUCAGAAUUACUGGGCGUAAAGAGCACGUAGGUGGUUUUUUUAAGUUCAGAUGUGAAAUCCCUGGGCUUUAACCUAGGAACUGCAUUUUGAAACUGAAAUACUAGAGUAUCGUAGAGGGAGGUAGAAUUCUAGGUGUAGCGGUGAAAUGCGUAGAUAUCUGGAGGAAUACCUGUGGCGAAAGCGGCCUCCUAAACGAAUACUGACACUGAGGUGCGAAAAGCGUGGGGAGCAAAACAGGGAUUAGAUACC
RNAcentral lists this ribosomal RNA (460 nucleotides) under uncultured bacterium. RNAcentral's name for it is "bacterial SSU rRNA". It matches the Rfam family "Bacterial small subunit ribosomal RNA", at positions 340 to 786 of the family's 1533-position model. The record is from RNAcentral.